UCUCUAGUAUAAACACCAAGUAGCAUGUGUUUUCACAUAAAGAAGACAGGGGCCAUGCAACCUUUAUCAAGUGGAGGUAUUAGAAUGUUGUAAUGUUUGGAGACACAGUGUGACCAGUACAGGUUCCCAGAGAGGAAUGCCCACCAUAUCACAGAAAGGUAGAGGUGGGAUCUGGUAUAGCCAGACCAAGACAGGGAUGUCACGCUGAAGCCAAGUCAGUUAGCUGAAGAUUCUCAACAGGAAGGCCUCUCUUAAGAGUCAGUAAUAGGGUUGUUACCAUCCACCACCUCAACAAAACAAAAAGCUUAUAAUUGUAAAUGUUUACAGCACUGUCUUCGCAGAAACUUUCUGAGGUGAUUCCAAAGAACUAGAGGGGAGAUGGUCUAUAACAGCUCUUGAAGUAAACGAGGUUCUUAGUCUCAGCUCUCCUGACAUAUAGGGCUUGAUCAUUACUGGUAGGGAUUGUUCUGUGAAUUGCUUACUACUACCCCUGGUCUCUCCCCAGUAGAUGCCAGGAACAUUCUAGCUGAUACCUAACUGUCUUCCCAGGUGUUCGAGGGAGCAAACCACUGAUCUAAACUCUAAACGCUGAAGUACGCAGGUUUUCUAAAAAUGACAAGCCCUUGAAACCUUUCCCAGUAGGCAGCCUCGAGCUGGACUUGUGUCUUUGGAAUGCUGAUGAAUUCUAUAGAUCAGCAUUGCAAAUACACUUCAAAUACGUCUGAGUUCAAGUGCAGGGACUGAGUUCACCAAGGUGUGAAAUGUGCUCAAAAAGUUCAAAAGUGUGUGUUUCUUUGUUUCUAAAACAUUGUGGCAUCUUUUUCAUUUGUUUCUAAAACUUUUUUUUUAGAAACAAAUGAAGCACUUGGAAAGUGAAAGUAAAAUUACAAAUAUAAGGAUUUACACUGAAGAGAGAAAAAUUUUAGGAACUAUAGCUGUGAAAAGAUUUUGUUCAAAAGGCAGGCUAGCCUUACCCAAAUUCAUAUAUGGCAGGUGUCAACCUCCCAAGCUUACAGUUAGCAGGCAGCUUUUGCUCACUCAUCCUUAGCCAUGAGAGCCAUUAAGUGUGGUCCAAGAAAGAUGGCUCCAAACCCUACCCCCGACCCACCAGUGGUAUUCAGAGAUUAAAGCAGAAUUGUAAAUAGUGGCUUCAGGAGCUCUUUUUUAGAAUGCUUUGCCCCUUCCUCUCACUGCCUUUUUUAGCCAAUAUAAAUGUCAAUUUGCACACCUUUUGUUGUGGUUUUAUAUUGUAACAGCAUUUUUUUGAAACUAUUGUAUUUAAGAUAAGGUUUCAUAUUAUGUCCACAAGUAAUUAAAUUAUGUUUGAAGGUGGCUAUAUGCUGUAUCAGAAGUUGAUGAUGUUUUUCUUUAGCUGGUAAAGGAGGGUUUUGC
Molecule: long non-coding RNA, 1392 nt
Filed under: Mus musculus (house mouse)
Lineage: Eukaryota; Metazoa; Chordata; Mammalia; Rodentia; Muridae
Description: long non-coding RNA chr11:11770711-11772103
Source: RNAcentral